This 1372-nucleotide ribosomal RNA is filed under the name uncultured bacterium. RNAcentral describes it as "bacterial SSU rRNA". It matches the Rfam family "Bacterial small subunit ribosomal RNA", at positions 28 to 1381 of the family's 1533-position model. The record is from RNAcentral.
GAUGAACGCUGGCGGCGUGCCUAAUACAUGCAAGUCGAGCGAACGGACGAGAAGCUUGCUUCUCUGAUGUUAGCGGCGGACGGGUGAGUAACACGUGGAUAACCUACCUAUAAGACUGGGAUAACUUCGGGAAACCGGAGCUAAUACCGGAUAAUAUUUUGAACCGCAUGGUUCAAAAGUGAAAGACGGUCUUGCUGUCACUUAUAGAUGGAUCCGCGCUGCAUUAGCUAGUUGGUAAGGUAACGGCUUACCAAGGCAACGAUGCAUAGCCGACCUGAGAGGGUGAUCGGCCACACUGGAACUGAGACACGGUCCAGACUCCUACGGGAGGCAGCAGUAGGGAAUCUUCCGCAAUGGGCGAAAGCCUGACGGAGCAACGCCGCGUGAGUGAUGAAGGUCUUCGGAUCGUAAAACUCUGUUAUUAGGGAAGAACAUAUGUGUAAGUAACUGUGCACAUCUUGACGGUACCUAAUCAGAAAGCCACGGCUAACUACGUGCCAGCAGCCGCGGUAAUACGUAGGUGGCAAGCGUUAUCCGGAAUUAUUGGGCGUAAAGCGCGCGUAGGCGGUUUUUUAAGUCUGAUGUGAAAGCCCACGGCUCAACCGUGGAGGGUCAUUGGAAACUGGAAAACUUGAGUGCAGAAGAGGAAAGUGGAAUUCCAUGUGUAGCGGUGAAAUGCGCAGAGAUAUGGAGGAACACCAGUGGCGAAGGCGACUUUCUGGUCUGUAACUGACGCUGAUGUGCGAAAGCGUGGGGAUCAAACAGGAUUAGAUACCCUGGUAGUCCACGCCGUAAACGAUGAGUGCUAAGUGUUAGGGGGUUUCCGCCCCUUAGUGCUGCAGCUAACGCAUUAAGCACUCCGCCUGGGGAGUACGACCGCAAGGUUGAAACUCAAAGGAAUUGACGGGGACCCGCACAAGCGGUGGAGCAUGUGGUUUAAUUCGAAGCAACGCGAAGAACCUUACCAAAUCUUGACAUCCUUUGACAACUCUAGAGAUAGAGCCUUCCCCUUCGGGGGACAAAGUGACAGGUGGUGCAUGGUUGUCGUCAGCUCGUGUCGUGAGAUGUUGGGUUAAGUCCCGCAACGAGCGCAACCCUUAAGCUUAGUUGCCAUCAUUAAGUUGGGCACUCUAAGUUGACUGCCGGUGACAGACCGGAGGAAGGUGGGGAUGACGUCAAAUCAUCAUGCCCCUUAUGAUUUGGGCUACACACGUGCUACAAUGGACAAUACAAAGGGCAGCGAAACCGCGAGGUCAAGCAAAUCCCAUAAAGUUGUUCUCAGUUCGGAUUGUAGUCUGCAACUCGACUACAUGAAGCUGGAAUCGCUAGUAAUCGUAGAUCAGCAUGCUACGGUGAAUACGUUCCCGGGUCU